This 490-nucleotide ribosomal RNA is filed under the name uncultured bacterium. RNAcentral's name for it is "partial 16S ribosomal RNA". It matches the Rfam family "Bacterial small subunit ribosomal RNA", at positions 30 to 507 of the family's 1533-position model. The record is from RNAcentral.
AUUGAACGCUGGCGGCAGGCCUAACACAUGCAAGUCGAAUGGUAACAGGAAACAGCUUGCUGUUUCGCUGACGAGUGGCGGACGGGUGAGUAAUGUCUGGGAAACUGCCUGAUGGAGGGGGAUAACUACUGGAAACGGUAGCUAAUACCGCAUAACGUCGCAAGACCAAAGAGGGGGACCUUCGGGCCUCUUGCCAUCAGAUGUGCCCAGAUGGGAUUAGCUAGUAGGUGGGGUAACGGCUCACCUAGGCGACGAUCCCAAGCUGGUCUGAGAGGAUGACCAGCCACACUGGAACUGAGACACGGUCCAGACUCCUACGGGAGGCAGCAGUGGGGAAUAUUGCACAAUGGGCGCAAGCCUGAUGCAGCCAUGCCGCGUGUAUGAAGAAGGCCUUCGGGUUGUAAAGUACUUUCAGCGGGGAGGAAGGGAGUAAAGUUAAUACCUUUGCUCAUUGACGUUACCCGCAGAAGAAGCACCGGCUAACUCCGUG